This 497-nucleotide ribosomal RNA is filed under the name uncultured bacterium. Its description in RNAcentral is "partial 16S ribosomal RNA". It matches the Rfam family "Bacterial small subunit ribosomal RNA", at positions 28 to 507 of the family's 1533-position model. The record is from RNAcentral.
GAUGAACGCCGGCGGCGUGCCUAAUACAUGCAAGUCGAGCGAACAGACGAGGAGCUUGCUCCUCUGACGUUAGCGGCGGACGGGUGAGUAACACGUGGAUAACCUACCUAUAAGACUGGGAUAACUUCGGGAAACCGGAGCUAAUACCGGAUAAUAUAUUGAACCGCAUGGUUCAAUAGUGAAAGACGGUUUUGCUGUCACUUAUAGAAGGAUCCGCGCCGCAUUAGCUAGUUGGUAAGGUAACGGCUUACCAAGGCAACGAUGCGUAGCCGACCUGAGAGGGUGAUCGGCCACACUGGAACUGAGACACGGUCCAGACUCCUACGGGAGGCAGCAGUAGGGAAUCUUCCGCAAUGGGCGAAAGCCUGACGGGGCAACGCCGCGUGAGUGAUGAAGGUCUUCGGAUCGUAAAACUCUGUUAUUAGGGAAGAACAAAUGUGUAAGUAACUAUGCACGUCUUGACGGUACCUAAUCAGAAAGCCACGGCUAACUACGUG